GUGCCAGCAGCCGCGGUAAUACGUAGGGCGCAAGCGUUGUCCGGAAUCACUGGGUGUAAAGGGUGCGUAGGCGGAUGGGUAAGUCAGCGGUGAAAUCUCACGGCUCAACCGUGAAACUGCCGAUGAUACUGUCCAUCUUGAGUUUGGGAGAGGUCGAUGGAAUUCCAGGUGUAGCGGUGAAAUGCGUAGAUAUCUGGAAGAACACCAGUGGCGAAGGCGGUCGACUGGCCCACAACUGACGCUGAGGCACGAAAGCGUGGGGAUCAAACAGGAUUAGAUACCCCAGUAGUCC
Molecule: ribosomal RNA, 292 nt
Filed under: uncultured bacterium
Lineage: Bacteria
Description: partial 16S ribosomal RNA
Rfam family: Bacterial small subunit ribosomal RNA
Source: RNAcentral